Molecule: ribosomal RNA, 468 nt
Filed under: uncultured bacterium
Lineage: Bacteria
Description: partial 16S ribosomal RNA
Rfam family: Bacterial small subunit ribosomal RNA
Source: RNAcentral
GACGGACGCUGGCGGCGUGCUUAACACAUGCAAGUCGAACGGAAAGGCCCUGCUUUUGCGGGGUGCUCGAGUGGCGAACGGGUGAGUAACACGUGAGUAACCUGCCCUUGACUUUGGGAUAACUUCAGGAAACUGGGGCUAAUACCGGAUAGGAGCUCCUGCUGCAUGGUGGGGGUUGGAAAGUUUCGGCGGUUGGGGAUGGACUCGCGGCUUAUCAGCUUGUUGGUGGGGUAGUGGCUUACCAAGGCUUUGACGGGUAGCCGGCCUGAGAGGGUGACCGGCCACAUUGGGACUGAGAUACGGCCCAGACUCCUACGGGAGGCAGCAGUGGGGAAUAUUGCACAAUGGGCGGAAGCCUGAUGCAGCAACGCCGCGUGCGGGAUGACGGCCUUCGGGUUGUAAACCGCUUUCGCCUGUGACGAAGCGUGAGUGACGGUAAUGGGUAAAGAAGCACCGGCUAACUACGUG